Molecule: unclassified non-coding RNA, 189 nt
Filed under: uncultured fungus
Lineage: Eukaryota; Fungi
Description: sequence contains ITS1, 5.8S rRNA gene
Source: RNAcentral
ACAAAAAGAUAAAAGUCGGGCCGUAAAACGUUCGGCUUUUAUAAACCCCUGUGAACUGUAAUUGUAUCUGGUGGGUUAAAAAGGGAAUUUACGUUCCUUGGUGCUUAGGACUCUUGAGUCAGACUCACCACCCACUGUUAAAUUUGAACAUGUAUUUCUUGAAUUAGUUUAUAUUUUAAAUAAAUUAAA